Molecule: ribosomal RNA, 550 nt
Filed under: uncultured fungus
Lineage: Eukaryota; Fungi
Description: SSU rRNA
Rfam family: Eukaryotic small subunit ribosomal RNA
Source: RNAcentral
GUAGUCAUAUGCUUGUCUCAAAGAUUAGCCAUGCAUGUCUAAGUAUAAGCAAUUAUACCGCGAAACUGCGAAUGGCUCAUUAUAUAAGUUAUCGUUUAUUUGAUAGUACCUUACUACUUGGAUAACCGUGGUAAUUCUAGAGCUAAUACAUGCUAAAAAUCCCGACUUCGGAAGGGAUGUAUUUAUUAGAUUAAAAACCAAUGCCCUUCGGGGCUCACUGGUGAUUCAUGAUAACUCCUCGAAUCGCAUGGCCUUGUGCCGGCGAUGGUUCAUUCAAAUUUCUUCCCUAUCAACUUUCGAUGUUUGGGUAUUGGCCAAACAUGGUUGCAACGGGUAACGGAGGGUUAGGGCUCGACCCCGGAGAAGGAGCCUGAGAAACGGCUACUACAUCCAAGGAAGGCAGCAGGCGCGCAAAUUACCCAAUCCCGACACGGGGAGGUAGUGACAAUAAAUACUGAUACAGGGCUCUUUUGGGUCUUGUAAUUGGAAUGAGUACAAUUUAAAUCCCUUAACGAGGAACAAUUGGAGGGCAAGUCUGGUGCCAGCAGCC